AUGAAGCUGGAAUUGCUGUAAUGGCAGGUCAGCAUACUGCCGUGAAUACGUUCCCGGGCCUUGUACACACCGCCCGUCACACCAUGAGAGUUGGAAAUACCCGAAGCCUGUGAGCUAACAGUAAUGAGGCAGCAGUCGAAGGUAGAGCCAAUGAUUGGGGUGAAGUCGUAACAAGGUAGC
RNAcentral lists this ribosomal RNA (180 nucleotides) under uncultured bacterium. RNAcentral's name for it is "partial 16S ribosomal RNA". It matches the Rfam family "Bacterial small subunit ribosomal RNA", at positions 1320 to 1500 of the family's 1533-position model. The record is from RNAcentral.